UGCGGGAUCGUCUAAUGGUAGGACGUCUGGCUCUGAACCAGAAAAUCGAGGUUCGAUUCCUUGUCCCGCAG
This 71-nucleotide transfer RNA is filed under the name Candidatus Harrisonbacteria bacterium RIFOXYA1_FULL_48_8. RNAcentral's name for it is "tRNA-Gln". It matches the Rfam family "tRNA". Rfam says of the family: Transfer RNA (tRNA) molecules are approximately 80 nucleotides in length. Their secondary structure includes four short double-helical elements and three loops (D, anti-codon, and T loops). The record is from RNAcentral. Lineage: Bacteria; Candidatus Harrisoniibacteriota.